This 1636-nucleotide long non-coding RNA is filed under the name Equus caballus (horse). RNAcentral's name for it is "lncRNA (ENSECAG00000056180.1)". The record is from RNAcentral. Lineage: Eukaryota; Metazoa; Chordata; Mammalia; Perissodactyla; Equidae.
GAAAGAACACGCAUGCAUCCCUCUUUUUCUAUUUUUAUCACACGAGUAUCUCCGGCCGGCGGUACAAGAGGCUGGAGACCCCAGAGGGCUCUCUUGCCCCUUCUGCCAUGUGAGGACACAGCGAGAAGAUGGCUGUCUGUGAACCAGGAAGUGGACCCUCACCAGACACGGAAUGCACUGGAGUCCUGCUCUUGGACUUCCCAGCCUGGAGAACUGUGAGAGACGAAUGCAGCUUGCAUGGCUUGCCAAGUGGUGCCAUGUUUAUACCUGGGAUCCGAACCCGUGAACCCCCGGACACUGAAGCAGAAUGUGUGCACUCAACUGCUGCGUCCCCGGGCCGGCCACACAUUUAUUCUUAAAUAGAAGAUUAGCCCUGAGCUAACUGCUGCCAAUCCUCCUCUUUUUGCUGAGGAAGACUGGCCCUGAGCUAACAUCCAUGCCCAUCCUCCUCUACUUUAUAUGUGGGACACCUGCCACAGCAUGGCUUUUGCCAAGUGGGGCCAUGUCCGCACCCAGGAUCCGAACCAGCGAACCCCGGGCCACCGAAGCGGAACUUGUGCACUUAACCGCUGUGCCACCGGGCCGGCCCCUGAUAAAGCUUUUGAUUUUGAUCUUUUUCCAGAUAAAGAAGGACAAUUUAUAUUUGUCUCCCUCUCUUCCUCUUAGUUGGGUCAAAUCACUUCUAAACUACCAGUUGGCCUUUGUGAGAGGUGACUUGAUUUCUUAUUUUAAAACUAUUUAUAUUAUGGAAACUUUUCAAUAUAGACAAAACUACAGAACCAUAUAAAAUGAACCCCCACGUACCCAUCAACCAGCUCAGAUAUACACCAAAUCAAUAUAUUUAUCUCCAUUUGUUCUCCCAUCCAAUAGUAUUUUGAAGAAGCUCUCAUCCGUCAUAUAAAUUAAUCCCUAAAUAUUUAAGAAGUAUCUCUAAAAGAAAAGGACUAAAAAGAAACCCAAUUCCCAUUACUGUCCUAUAACAAUAAUUUCCUAGCAUCAUCAAGUGUCAUCUUUUACAAUUUGCUUGUUUGAGUGAGGAUCUAAAUAAGGCCUGUGAGAGUGUAUAAUUGGCCAACGUCUCUUAAGUCUCGUUCAGACUACAUUUAUAUUAGUACAGGCUCCUACUCUUUCUCUUUUAUUUUCCUUGCAAUUUGAUGAAGAAACCAGGUCCUUUGUCCUUCAUAUAAAAAUAUUUUAUUUGAUGGGAUUAUAUAGAUAAUAUUCUUUAGCAAUAUAUGUUGGCCGUCUUUCCUCUUAGUACCUAUAAGUCAAUUUUUGGUUUUUAGCUGGUGCACAGAACUCCAUAGUUACUAUUUUUUAAAAUGUCUUAUCUCCUCUACUUACCUACAUGAGCCUUGGAGGAGAUAAUUCACUCAGCAAACAUUUAAUGAGCACCUAGUCUCUGCUAGGCCCCAUGCCCGAUCCUGAGAGCUGUAGUAGGAAUAAGCCAGACAGGUUCCCGAAGCUUCAACUCAGACUUUCAUGGUCUGCAGCAUGUUUGAAGAGACCUUGUUAAAUGCAGGUCCCAGGGCCCCCUCCCAGACGGGCUGUCUCUCUCGUCUAGCACUGUCCUGUACAAAUGCGUGUCAAUUUACAUUUUCUAGUAAUUAUGUAAAAAGAUAAAAAGAAACAGGUG